Molecule: ribosomal RNA, 253 nt
Filed under: uncultured bacterium
Lineage: Bacteria
Description: partial 16S ribosomal RNA
Rfam family: Bacterial small subunit ribosomal RNA
Source: RNAcentral
UACGUAGGGUGCAAGCGUUGUCCGGAUUUAUUGGGCGUAAAGAGCUCGUAGGCGGUUUGUCGCGUCGGAUGUGAAAAUCUAGGGCUUAACCCUGGGCCUGCAUUCGAUACGGGCAGACUAGAGUUCGGUAGGGGAGACUGGAACUCCAGGUGUAGCGGUGAAAUGCGCAGAUAUCAGGAAGAACACCGGUGGCGAAGGCGGCUCUCUGGGCCGAUACUGACGCUGAGGAGCGAAAGCGUGGGGAGCAAACAGG